AGAGGAUUCCACUUUCGACCCCUGUCAACAGUUGAAAAAUUUUGUGAACAACUUGAACUGAAGAAACAACAGAACACAUAAUGAUUUGCAAUAAAGGUUUCCUGAUUACAUUGCAUACAAUAAAAAAAUCUAUCUUUUUUUUUAAUCACUAAUUCGCCAUGAUAUUUCUUGUAAAAUAAGAGGCUAAAGCAAAACCUCAACCAUCAAUAGCCUAUGCCAAAAACAUUCUUUCAUCAUAAAGUCGGGCAAGUUCUUGUUAGAAAUUGGAAGGAACUUUUGAAAAGAGUAACAGCGAAUGAUUUCCAAAUCCAAUAAUGGACUCUUCACAUAAGAAAUCAAGAGGUCUUAAAAUUCAAACCAUGAUG
Molecule: unclassified non-coding RNA, 365 nt
Filed under: Hevea brasiliensis (rubber tree)
Lineage: Eukaryota; Viridiplantae; Streptophyta; Magnoliopsida; Malpighiales; Euphorbiaceae
Source: RNAcentral